This 486-nucleotide ribosomal RNA is filed under the name uncultured bacterium. RNAcentral's name for it is "partial 16S ribosomal RNA". It matches the Rfam family "Bacterial small subunit ribosomal RNA", at positions 29 to 507 of the family's 1533-position model. The record is from RNAcentral.
AUUGAACGCUGGCGGCAUGCCUUACACAUGCGAGUCGAACGGCAGCACGGGUGCUUGCACCUGGUGGCGAGUGGCGAACGGGUGAGUAAUACAUCGGAACAUGUCCUGUAGUGGGGGAUAGCCCGGCGAAAGCCGGAUUAAUACCGCAUACGAUCUACGGAUGAAAGCGGGGGACCUUCGGGCCUCGCGCUAUAGGGUUGGCCGAUGGCUGAUUGGCUAGUUGGGGGGGUAAAGGCCUACCAAGGCGACGAUCAGUAGCUGGUCUGAGAGGACGACCAGCCACACUGGGACUGAGACACGGCCCAGACUCCUACGGGAGGCAGCAGUGGGGAAUUUUGGACAAUGGGCGAAAGCCUGAUCCAGCAAUGCCGCGUGUGUGAAGAAGGCCUUCGGGUUGUAAAGCACUUUUGUCCGGAAAGAAAUCCUUGGCCCUAAUACGGUCGGGGGAUGACGGUACCGGAAGAAUAAGCACCGGCUAACUACGUG